This 1343-nucleotide ribosomal RNA is filed under the name uncultured bacterium. RNAcentral describes it as "16S ribosomal RNA". It matches the Rfam family "Bacterial small subunit ribosomal RNA", at positions 28 to 1378 of the family's 1533-position model. The record is from RNAcentral.
GACGAACGCUGUCGGCGUGCUUAACACAUGCAAGUCGAACGGAAAGGCCCUGCUUUUGUGGGGUGCUCGAGUGGCGAACGGGUGAGUAACACGUGAGUAACCUGCCCUUGACUUUGGGAUAACUUCAGGAAACUGGGGCUAAUACCGGAUAGGAGCUCCUGCUGCAUGGUGGGGGUUGGAGAGUUUCGGCGGUUGGGGAUGGACUCGCGGCUUAUCAGCUUGUUGGUGGGGUAGUGGCUUACCAAGGCUUUGACGGGUAGCCGGCCUGAGAGGGUGACCGGCCACAUUGGGACUGAGAUACGGCCCAGACUCCUACGGGAGGCAGCAGUGGGGAAUAUUGCACAAUGGGCGGAAGCCUGAUGCAGCAACGCCGCGUGCGGGAUGACGGCCUUCGGGUUGUAAACCGCUUUCGCCUGUGACGAAGCGUGAGUGACGGUAAUGGGUAAAGAAGCACCGGCUAACUACGUGCCAGCAGCCGCGGUGAUACGUAGGGUGCGAGCGUUGUCCGGAUUUAUUGGGCGUAAAGGGCUCGUAGGUGGUUGAUCGCGUCGGAAGUGUAAUCUUGGGGCUUAACCCUGAGCGUGCUUUCGAUACGGGUUGACUUGAGGAAGGUAGGGGAGAAUGGAAUUCCUGGUGGAGCGGUGGAAUGCGCAGAUAUCAGGAGGAACACCAGUGGCGAAGGCGGUUCUCUGGGCCUUUCCUGACGCUGAGGAGCGAAAGCGUGGGGAGCGAACAGGCUUAGAUACCCUGGUAGUCCACGCUGUAAACGGUGGGUACUAGGUGUGGGGUCCAUUCCACGGGUUCCGUGCCGUAGCUAACGCUUUAAGUACCCCGCCUGGGGAGUACGGCCGCAAGGCUAAAACUCAAAGGAAUUGACGGGGCCCCGCACAAGCGGCGGAGCAUGCGGAUUAAUUCGAUGCAACGCGUAGAACCUUACCUGGGUUUGACAUGGAUCGGGAGUGCUCAGAGAUGGGUGUGCCUCUUUUGGGGUCGGUUCACAGGUGGUGCAUGGCUGUCGUCAGCUCGUGUCGUGAGAUGUUGGGUUAAGUCCCGCAACGAGCGCAACCCUUGUUCACUGUUGCCAGCACGUUAUGGUGGGGACUCAGUGGAGACCGCCGGGGUCAACUCGGAGGAAGGUGGGGAUGACGUCAAGUCAUCAUGCCCCUUAUGUCCAGGGCUUCACGCAUGCUACAAUGGCUGGUACAGAGAGUGGCGAGCCUGUGAGGGUGAGCGAAUCUCGGAAAGCCGGUCUCAGUUCGGAUUGGGGUCUGCAACUCGACCUCAUGAAGUCGGAGUCGCUAGUAAUCGCAGAUCAGCAACGCUGCGGUGAAUACGUUCCUGGG